Molecule: ribosomal RNA, 377 nt
Filed under: uncultured eukaryote
Lineage: Eukaryota
Description: partial 18S ribosomal RNA
Rfam family: Eukaryotic small subunit ribosomal RNA
Source: RNAcentral
CAAUAGCGUAUAUUUAAGUUGUUGCAGUUAAAAAGCUCGUAGUUGGAUUUCGGGUGGGACGCAGCGGUCUCGCAUUGCGUUUGUACUGCUGCAGCCCUCCUUCUUGCCGGGGGCGGCCUCUCGGACUUCACUGUCUGGGGGUCAGAAUCGGCGAUGUUACUUUGAGUAAAUUAGAGUGUUCAAAGCAAGCUUACGCUCUGAAUAUAAUAGCAUGGGAUAACACGACAGGACUCUGGCCUAUCGUGUUGGUCUAUAGGACCAGAGUAAUGAUUAAGAGGGACAGUCGGGGGCAUUCGUAUUCCGUUGUCAGAGGUGAAAUUCUUGGAUUUACGGAAGACGAACAUCUGCGAAAGCAUUUGCCAAGGAUGUCUNCAUUG